This 1785-nucleotide ribosomal RNA is filed under the name Amblyomma maculatum (Gulf Coast tick). RNAcentral's name for it is "SSU rRNA". It matches the Rfam family "Eukaryotic small subunit ribosomal RNA". The record is from RNAcentral. Lineage: Eukaryota; Metazoa; Arthropoda; Arachnida; Ixodida; Ixodidae.
GUAGUCAUAUGCUUGUCUCAAAGAUUAAGCCACUGCAUGUCUAAGUACAUGCCGAAAUAAGGCGAAACCGCGAAUGGCUCAUUAAAUCAGUUAUGGUUCCUUAGAUCGUUUCUUUCUACUUGGACAACUGUGGCAAUUCUAGAGCUAAUACAUGCAUUGAGCCUGAAGGCCUUUGGCUGACGGGCGCUUUUAUUAGACCAAGACCCAUCGGGUUCUGCCCGUACUCUGUGGUGACUCUGGAUAACUUUGUGCUGAUCGCAUGGCCAUGAGCCGGCGACGUUUCUUUCAAGUGUCUGCCUUAUCAACUUUCGAUGGUAGGUUACUUGCCUACCAUGGUUGUUACGGGUAACGGAGAAUCAGGGUUCGAUUCCGGAGAGGGAGCCUGAGAAACGGCUACCACAUCCAAGGAAGGCAGCAGGCGCGCAAAUUACCCACUCCCGGCACGGGGAGGUAGUGACGAAAAAUAACAAUACGGGACUCUUUUGAGGCCCCGUAAUUGAAAUGAGUACACUCUAAAUCCUUUAACGAGGAUCAAUUGGAGGGCAAGUCUGGUGCCAGCAGCCGCGGUAAUUCCAGCUCCAAUAGCGUAUACUAAAGCUGCUGCGGUUAAAAAGCUCGUAGUUGGAUCUCAGUUCCAGACGAGUAGUGCAUCUACCCGAUGCGACGGCUCGUACUGAACAUCAUGCCGGUCCUCUCUUGGUGCCCUUCAUUGGUGCGUCUCGAGGUGGCCUGCGCUUUUACUUUGAAAAAAUUAGAGUGCUCAACGCAGGCGAGUCGCCUGAAUAAACUUGCAUGGAAUAAUAGAACAAGACCCUGUUUCUGUUCUGUUGGUUUUUGGAAUACGGGGUAAUGAUUAAGAGGGACAGACGGGGGCAUUCGUAUUGCGGCGCUAGAGGUGAAAUUCUUGGACCGUCGCAAGACGAACUACUGCGAAAGCAUUUGCCAAGAAUGUUUUCUUUGAUCAAGAACGAAAGUCAGAGGUUCGAAGGCGAUCAGAUACCGCCCUAGUUCUGACCAUAAACGAUGCCAACCAGCGAUCCGCCUGAGUUACUCAAAUGACUCGGCGGGCAGCUUCCGGGAAACCAAAGUAUUUGGGUUCCGGGGAAGUAUGGUUGCAAAGCUGAAACUUAAAGGAAUUGACGGAAGGGCACCACCAGGAGUGGAGCUGCGGCUUAAUUUGACUCAACACGGGAAAACUUACCCGGCCCGGACACUGGGAGGAUUGACAGAUUGAGAGCUCUUUCUUGAUUCGGUGGAUGGUGGUGCAUGGCCGUUCUUAGUUGGUGGAGCGAUUUGUCUGGUUAAUUCCGAUAACGAACGAGACUCUAGCCUAUUAAAUAGGUGCGGGGUUCCCAGCACCUUACAACCUUCUUAGAGGGACAAGCGGCUCCUAGCCGCACGAAACAGAGCAAUAACAGGUCUGUGAUGCCCUUAGAUGUCCGGGGCCGCACGCGCGCUACACUGAAGGAAGCAGCGUGUCUUUAUCCCUGUCUGAAAAGACUGGGUAACCCGUGGAACUUCUUUCGUGAUUGGGAUAGGGGCUUGCAAUUGUUCCCCUUGAACGAGGAAUUCCCAGUAAGCGCGAGUCAUAAGCUCGCGUUGAUUACGUCCCUGCCCUUUGUACACACCGCCCGUCGCUACUACCGAUUGAAUGAUUUAGUGAGGUCUUCGGACCGAUGUCCGGCGCGGCCUUUCGGUUGCGCCGGUCUGUUGGAAAGAUGACCAAACUUGAUCAUUUAGAGGAAGUAAAAGUCGUAACAAGGUUUCCGUAGGUGAACCUGCGGA